This 411-nucleotide unclassified non-coding RNA is filed under the name Hevea brasiliensis (rubber tree). Lineage: Eukaryota; Viridiplantae; Streptophyta; Magnoliopsida; Malpighiales; Euphorbiaceae. The record is from RNAcentral.
AGUUUGUAGCAUUUUGUAUUUCAAGAAGUCAUGGAGGUAUGCAUGUUUUCAGUUCGUUGACAGAAUCUACAACAAGCUUUGGGUAGCUAUUGCAAUUAAGGCAAAUCAACUACGGAGUAUGUUUCAAAGAAUCAAAUUUGAACAAAAUGCAUAACAAGUUUUAAUGUAGGUUCGAGGUUGCUUGAGCGUAGCGCAGACACUCCAAAAUUUAAUAAAGCUCCAGUUAAGAUUAGAAAAAAAGAAAGAAGAAUGGAAGGCUAUGCUAUGAAUUCCUUUGUUUGAAGGAUAAAUUUAUGUCUAGCAGAAUAGUCUCUUGCUAUCUCUAUUUGUUUUUAUGUUGGUGUGUACCUCAAUAUAUUUCCUAUAGAAUUUGAUAGCCUCUUUGUACUUAUUUCAAGACAUGGAAUGCAU